Molecule: ribosomal RNA, 700 nt
Filed under: uncultured beta proteobacterium
Lineage: Bacteria; Pseudomonadati; Pseudomonadota; Betaproteobacteria
Description: bacterial SSU rRNA
Rfam family: Bacterial small subunit ribosomal RNA
Source: RNAcentral
ACCCCUUGAGAGUGGCGAACGGGUGAGUAAUAUAUCGGAACGUGCCCAGUCGUGGGGGAUAACGUAGCGAAAGUUACGCUAAUACCGCAUACGAUCUAUGGAUGAAAGCGGGGGACCGUAAGGCCUCGCGCGAUUGGAGCGGCCGAUAUCAGAUUAGGUAGUUGGUGGGGUAAAGGCUCACCAAGCCAACGAUCUGUAGCUGGUCUGAGAGGACGACCAGCCACACUGGAACUGAGACACGGUCCAGACUCCUACGGGAGGCAGCAGUGGGGAAUUUUGGACAAUGGACGCAAGUCUGAUCCAGCCAUUCCGCAUGCAGGAUGAAGGCCCUCGGGUCGUAAACUGCUUUUGUACGGAACGAAAAGGUCUCUAUUAAUACUAGGGGCUCAUGACGGUACCGUAAGAAUAAGCACCGGCUAACUACGUGCCAGCAGCCGCGGUAAUACGUAGGGUGCAAGCGUUAAUCGGAAUUACUGGGCGUAAAGCGUGCGCAGGCGGUUAUGUAAGACAGAGGUGAAAUCCCCGGGCUCAACCUGGGAACUGCCUUUGUGACUGCAUAGCUAGAGUACGGUAGAGGGGGAUGGAAUUCCGCGUGUAGCAGUGAAAUGCGUAGAUAUGCGGAGGAACACCGAUGGCGAAGGCAAUCCCCUGGACCUGUACUGACGCUCAUGCACGAAAGCGUGGGGAGCAAACAGGAUUA